UACGGGGGGAGCAAGCGUUGUUCGGAUUUACUGGGCGUAAAGGGCGCGUAGGCGGUCAGCACAAGUCAGUUGUGAAAUCUCCGGGCUUAACUCGGAAAGGUCAACUGAUACUGUGCGACUAGAGUGCAGAAGGGGCAACUGGAAUUCUCGGUGUAGCGGUGAAAUGCGUAGAUAUCAAGAGGAACACCUGCGGCGAAGGCGGGUUGCUGGGCCGACACUGACGCUGAGGCGCGAAAGCUAGGGGAGCGAACGGG
This 254-nucleotide ribosomal RNA is filed under the name uncultured bacterium. RNAcentral's name for it is "partial 16S ribosomal RNA". It matches the Rfam family "Bacterial small subunit ribosomal RNA", at positions 524 to 776 of the family's 1533-position model. The record is from RNAcentral.